UUCAGUCUGCAGGCUGACACACUAUCCACUGAGCCAAACCAGUUUUGGCAACAUCCCCAUUUCAAUGUCCUGGCUCUUCCACUUACUUGCUGUGUGGUCAUGAGCAAGUUAUUAAUUCCUAUGUGCUUCAUGUCUCCUCAUUUUACUCCUCUGUAAAUGGCUCUGGUACCAGAACAUACCAGCCUCACAGGGCUGUCAUGAAGAAUGAAUGUGAAUCAUUCAACACAGUGCCUGCAGCAUGCAUACUACACUGCUCCUUAGCUUAUGAUGGUUACUCUCAAACCCACUGUGAAUUAAAAAUGUUAAGUC
Pipistrellus kuhlii (Kuhl's pipistrelle) is the source of this 309-nucleotide long non-coding RNA. RefSeq lists it as uncharacterized. The transcript is spliced from 3 exons. NCBI's taxonomy places the organism in Eukaryota, Metazoa, Chordata, Mammalia, Chiroptera, Vespertilionidae. The record is from RefSeq and is a predicted model, not a curated record.